GCCGCCGCCCGCAUACGAUCCCCGCAACGGACCGGGACCCCGUCGCCGCCAAGACCAAAACCCCCCUCGCCACCUCAUCACUGAAGUCAUCACCCCGCCGUAGCCACCCACCAAUACGCCGCAAUUUGGCCCAGGCCACCCAACUCCAAAAUCGCGCAUCGCAUCGCGAGUCGCGACGCGAACCGAGCCCACGAAAUCACGCGACGUCGUCGUCCGAAUCGAAUGCCGCGACCCCGCCGCUGUUGCUGCUGAUGCUCGAUCGCGCGACGGGGGGGCGGCGCCGCGCCGCGGGCGAAGGGAUGGACCAUCGGCCCGACCUGUCCCUCGCCCUCCACCCGCCGCCGCCGCCCGAGGGCUCGUCCGCCGCCGCCGCCGAGGAGGUGGGGGAGGAGGAGGCCGAAGGCGGCGAGGGGCGGUUCUCCCUCAUGGGCCAGCCGCUCUUCCUCAAGCGGCCGCGGCCGCGGCCCCCGCGCCCGCCCCGCGCGCGCGGGGUGGGGGACGACGUCGACGUCGACGUCGACGACGACUCAUCCCCGUGCUGCUCCUCCUCCUGCCUCUCGCCCGCGGCGAAGCGGCGGGCGGCGGCGGGAGGACUCGAGGCGCGCCGCGCGGCCGUGCGCGCGUGGGGAUGCCAGCCGCUCACGGAGGCGGACCCGGACGUGCACGAGCUGAUGGAGCGGGAGCGGCGCCGGCAGGCGGGCGGGGUCGAGCUCAUCGCCUCCGAGAACUACGCCUGCCGCGCGGUGCUCGACGCGCUCGGCAGCCACCUCACCAACAAGUACUCCGAGGGCCUCCCCGGCGCGCGCUACUACUGCGGCAACCAGCACAUCGACGCCAUCGAGCGCCUCUGCUGCGACCGCGCGCUCGCCGCCUUCGGCCUCGACCCGUCGCGCUGGGGCGUCAACGUGCAGCCCUACUCCUGCACCUCCGCCAACUUCGCCGUCUACACGGGGCUCCUCCUCCCCAACGACAGGAUCAUGGGCCUCGACUCGCCGUCCGGCGGCCACGUCAGCCACGGGUACUACACGCCCAGCGGCAAGAAGGUCUCCGGCGCCUCCAUCUUCUUCGAGAACCUCUCCUACAGGGUGAACCCGCACACCGGGUACAUCGAUUACGAUAAGGUAGAGGAGAAGGCCGUGGAUUUCCACCCCAAGAUUCUCAUCUGCGGCGCGAGCUCGUAUCCAAGGGAUUGGGACUAUGCACGGAUGCGGCUUGUUGCUGAUAAGUGCGGCGCAGUACUCAUGUGUGACAUGGCACAAAUCAGUGGUCUUGUGGCAGCGAAGGAAUGUCGAAAUCCCUUUGACUACUGCGAUAUUGUUACUUCAACCACACACAAGAGCUUGAGGGGUCCUAGAGGUGGUAUAAUAUUUUUCAGGAAAGGGAAAAAUCUAAGGAAACGGGUCGGAUCUUUAACUCAAGUGGUUGAAAAUGAUCAGUAUGAUUUUGAGGACCGUAUAAAUUUUGCUGUUUUCCCUUCAAUGCAAGGUGGACCCCACAAUAACCAUAUUGCUGCUCUGGCUAUAGCUCUAAAACAAGUAGCCAUGCCAGAAUUCAAAGCAUACAUUCAACAAGUCAAGAAAAAUGCCCAAGCUUUGGCGAUGGCCUUGCUCAGGAGGAAAUGCAGACUGGUUACUGGUGGCACAGAUAAUCAUUUGAUGCUCUGGGACCUAAGAACAUUUGGCUUGACAGGGAAGAACUUUGAGAAGGUCUGUGAGGCAUGUCAUAUCUCUCUUAAUAAAACACCAAUAUAUGGAGAUAAUGGUUCGAUUUCUCCUGGAGGUGUGCGGAUUGGAACUCCUGCCAUGACAACUAGAGGUUGCUUGGAGAGUGACUUUGAGAUAAUGGCAGAAUUCCUUUUGAGGGCAGCACAUAUAGCAAGUAUUGUUUUGAAGGAGCAUGGAAGGCUUCAGAAGGAUUUUCUGAAAGGUCUGGAGAACAAUAAUGACAUUAUUGAACUCCGGAAUCAGGUGGAGACAUUUGCCUUACAAUUUGCCAUGCCGGGAUUUGAUGUAUAAUAUAUGAGAGCCCUAUAUAUAUUUGCAGCCCUAGGAUGGUUCAGAUAUCAUUUGCAACUUGACACAUGUUUGAACAAAUUGCUACGUGAGAUAAUGUUUCGAAGUUGAUGUCAUCUCUCAUUGCCUUUUCUGCUUAGAUUUGUCUCAUCUUUUCCAUUUCAAGAAGGUAUAUAAUCUUUGUGAGUGAAGUUAUCAUGACUCCUGAACCAAAGGUAAAAAUUAACUUUCUUGCAUGGUUGCAUCUUUAAUUUAGCCUACCAUAGAUUUGUAGAUUCUUUACGGCAAUCAAAUACUAGGUGGUAGUGGCUACUUCCGUGGUACUUUUGAUUGGAGCUGACAUCUCAAUUCCAAGAGUAAUUUUUUUUUUGACUAACUCACCGGGGGGAGAGAUUCCCCACCUGAAUUUGUCAUUGCAUUGAAGAAUGGUUACACAGUUUGAUUCUAUUACAAAGCAUUGAGAGUUUGAAGGGGGGGGGGGGGGGUAGAAAAAAUAGCCUUCCAAGCAGAUAUUACAAAUCUAUCUUCUGGCUUCAAAAUAUCUGCCCAAAGGGCAGCCUCGCUUACACAGCAUUGCAGGCAUGAUUGGAGCGACGGCUCCAUCCCUCUGAAUACAACAUCAUGUCGGUGAUUCCAGAUUGCCCAGAAACAUAGCAGAAACUUGUCGCAAAUGUGCAAGAGAAGAAGAGAUGUGAACCCGUUUCUGGCCCGCUAUUACAGAUGCUGCAAGUGUCUGAUUGAACAAUCUUCUUCUUCAGGAGAUUGUGCUUUGUGGAUAGGCGAUCUCUGGCAAGAAGCCAAGCAAACAGUUUAACUUUCAUAGGCGCUUUGCAAUCCCAAAUCCAAAUCCAGUUCGGAGAAGCUGUUCCAGGAGGCAGCCUGGCUUGAUAGAUCUCCUUAGAUGUCAAGUUUGUCCCCAGGCUUUUCGAAUUUCUUCGAAUGUCCAGUUCAUCAGUACGAGUAAAAUGCUGAAGUAGUUCCUCUAGUUCAAUCAAUUGAAGUCGAGCGGCUUCAGAUAUUCGUGGAACAAUCUCCUGUGAGAUACCUCUGCAUGACAUGUUGGACUGUGGUCUGCUUGUUUUUUAUGUGCGAAAAAAGUGUUGCAAACUGUUCAGCAAGGAUGAUUCCCUCCAGCCACCUGUCAUGCCAGAAGGUGGUUCCAGCUCCAUUUCCAACUUCCACUGUAGUUAGCUCGUGCAGGCAGGGCAGCAGUUUUUGUAGGGAGGCCCAAUGAGGGCCAAGAGGCCUUUGUUUCAUAAGAUAGUUUUCAGAAGGAAUAAGUUCACUUUGUGUCCCUCUAUUUGUCGCCCAGUCCGAUUUUCGUCCCUUGAUCGUAAAACCGGGUAUAACCCGUCCCCCAACUUACAAAAACCGGGUAAACAUAGUUUACUCGGCGGUUUUGAAGGCGGUUUUGGCUGAUGUGGCGUCUACGUGGCUUGUUUGACUAGAUCUUCGUUCCACGUGGCAUUGACGUGACACUCACGUGACAAUUAUAUCUCGGAAAAAUAAUAAAAAGUGUGGCCCCACAUGUCAGCUGCAAAAAAAAAUUUAAAAUGGUGGGGCCCACGUAGGCCCCACAUGUCAGCCUCACUCCUCUCUACUUCCCUUUCCCCCCUCUCUCUCUCUCGCCUUCCCGGGCAGCGAACGGAGCGAGUGGGUGGCGGAACAGGCGAGCUCCGGCGGCGGCGGCGGGCGUGGUCGGCGCCGCCCCCCGACCGGAGCGCUGCCGGUCCGCAUGAAGGCAGGUCCGGGGAGGUCCGGUAGCCGGCGCGGGCGGCGGCGGGAGCGCUGGGCGGCCAGAUGAACGGGGCGGCGGCGGGCAGAGCGGAGCGCGGCGGACGGAGUGGCGGGGCGGGGCGGGUAGAGCAGCGGCGCGAAGCCGAAGGGGCACCAGCCUCAUCGUCGUCGUCUUCCUGCACGCCCUUCUCGGAGUUCUUGGGCACCGCGAGGACGGCGAGGAUAUGCCACCGUCCGUCGUCCGUCGUGUACAUCGCGCUAGGCAGCGAGGUGCCACUGCGCGUGGAUAAGGUCCACGAGCUCGCGCUCGGGCUGGACGUCGCCGGGACGCGCUUCCUGUGGGCUCUGAGGAAGCCCACUGGCGUCUCCGACACCGACCUCCUCCCCGCUGGCUUCGAGGAGCGCUCGUGCGGCCGCGGCGUCGUGGAGACGAGAUGGGUUCCUCAGAUGAGCAUACUGGCGCACGCCGAGAAGGCGUCGCGGCAGCGAUUCGUGCAGUCGCGGUGGAGGUCCUGGAGGAAGAAAGCAGCAAAGCGUUUCAAGCCAAUACCAAGAAGCUGCAGGAGAUCGUCGCGGACAUGGCCUGCCAUGAGAGGUACAUCGACGGAUUCAUUCAGCAAUUGAGAUCUUACAUGGAUUGAACUGAAGCAUCUCAGGAUGUACACCUACAACUACAAAAUCCUUGGAAUAAAAUGAUUUUUGUUUGCAAA
This is a non-coding RNA of Oryza sativa Japonica Group (Japanese rice), 4459 nucleotides long. The record is from RefSeq and is a predicted model, not a curated record. NCBI's taxonomy places the organism in Eukaryota, Viridiplantae, Streptophyta, Magnoliopsida, Poales, Poaceae.